CAAGGCUGUAUCACCCCCUCCUCGUCUUCCUCCUUCCCCAUCAAACGCGGUAGCACCCCCCUCCCCCGUCCUCCUCCCCCGUCCUCCUCCUACCCGGUAGCAUCGCCUCGCCCCCCUCCCCGUCCUCCUCAUCAACUGCAAGGCAGCAGGGAGCACCUCGCCAUCCCUUCCCCUCCGGCAGGUUUGUUCUCCAUCCCUCCCCACCAUCCCUCCUUAGUUUCGGCCUCCUCCCCUGCAGCAAUCACAAUCUCGGCCUACUCCCUAUCCCCGUUGUAAACAGAAAACUGCUAUAUUGAUGAUGGUGCUGCAUAAUUUUUUUUGUUACUGCAAAUUCAGACGUUAUGUUACUGCAAAUUCAGGUUUCGAACUAAAUGCAUCAAUUACGUUGGUUACUGCCAAAAAUGUACUGUUCUUUGUUUCUGCGGGAAAAAACAGCAUUUCCCCUCUUUUUGAGGUUUCGUGUUUACUGCAUGUUAAUUAUGUUGCUGCAGAAAAUUCAUGCUUCGUUGCUACAAAAAUACCGAGACAUUUUCCGUGUUUUUGUGCUGCCGCAUGAAUAGUUCGGUUUACUGUAAAAAAUUAGGUUUGUGUUACUGCAUAAAAAGGAGAAUAAUCCCUCACCAAUUGAGAAAUUUUUGUGUUACUGCAUAUUGACAAUGUUUUACUGUAAAUUCAUGCUGAUUUUUUUUGUUCCAAAAAAAUCAUGCUGAAAAAAUGAGGCAUUUCAAGGUUUUAUGAUACUACAUGAAUAGUCUGGUUACUGUGAAAAAUUUAUGGUUUGUGUUACUGCAAAAAAAGCAGGAUCACCCCUUCCCAAAUUGAGGCUCUGUGUUACUGUAUAUUGAUUAAGUAUUUACUGUAAAUUCAUGCUUUAUGUUGAUGAAAAAAAUUCAGAACAUGUACGAAGUGUUUGAGAAAGGAAAAGAACACGCGAUAAGGUCGACGAGGAAGAAGACGAAGAUGAUCUUUUGUACUUAAACAAGUUUAAUGUACUGUUUUGGUAGUUGUUGCUCCAGACAUACACUUAUAAUGCUAUAAUGAUAAUGCAAUGUUACUGUAGUUCUGCUGCAUUUCGUGGUCUGGUUGGUUUGUUGAUUGCAACAUUGUACAGCUAGACGUCUAUUACUGUAUAUAUACACAUAUGUUACUGUGGAAAUGUACAUACGUUACUGUGUACUAUGCAAAAUUUUGGCAGAGUUCUACCUGUAGAUAUGAACAUGCAUGACAGGAGAUUAGUGGAAAAUAUACAAGGAUGUAUGAUAAAAAGAAUCACAAUGUUAGCAUUGUUACUGCAGAUAUACACAUGUGUUGCUACAAACAUACACAUAUGCUAUUGCAUAUUAUGGAAGCAAUGGAUGUAUGUUACUGUAUAUGUAUUACUACAGAAAUCUACGUAUGUUA
RNAcentral lists this long non-coding RNA (1401 nucleotides) under Oryza brachyantha (malo sina). RNAcentral's name for it is "long non-coding RNA (OBRA_LNC002579)". Lineage: Eukaryota; Viridiplantae; Streptophyta; Magnoliopsida; Poales; Poaceae. The record is from RNAcentral.